Molecule: long non-coding RNA, 260 nt
Organism: Neogale vison (American mink)
Lineage: Eukaryota; Metazoa; Chordata; Mammalia; Carnivora; Mustelidae
Exons: 3
Source: RefSeq, a predicted model, not a curated record
AGAAAAAGAAAAAGAAAAAAGAGAGAGAGAGAGAGAGGAAAGAAAGGGAAGAUGAAAAAGAAGGUUCAGUCCAGAUGGGCCGCAAGUGCUGGGAGAAUUAACUGAAGAUAUAAAACCUUCUUUUACAAAAUGAAGUACCCAAGUAUUUGGUGGAACUGAAGAUAAAUUUCAUGUGCUUCCAGCUUGGCCCAUUGGAUACAACAUACUACCAAGGUGUUGAGAUCCUGAGUGGGCUUUUUCAGAGAAGUCUGGAGGCAGUA